GCGGCAGGCUUAACACAUGCAAGUCGAACGCACCCUUCGGGGUGAGUGGCAGACGGGUGAGUAACGCGUGGGCACCUGCCCUUCAGUUCGGAACAACCGUUGGAAACGACGGCUAAUGCCGGAUACGCCCCAUGGGGGAAAGAUUUAUCGCUGAAGGAUGGGCCCGCGUCGGAUUAGCUAGUUGGUGGGGUAAAAGCCUACCAAGGCGACGAUCCGUAGCUGGUCUGAGAGGAUGACCAGCCACACUGGGACUGAGACACGGCCCAGACUCCUACGGGAGGCAGCAGUGGGGAAUAUUGGACAAUGGGGGCAACCCUGAUCCAGCCAUGCCGCGUGAGUGAAGAAGGCCUUCGGGUUGUAAAGCUCUUUCAGAGGUGACGAUGAUGACGGUAACCUCAGAAGAAGCCCCGGCUAACUUCGUGCCAGCAGCCGCGGUAAUACGAAGGGGGCUAGCGUUGUUCGGAAUUACUGGGCGUAAAGCGCGCGUAGGCGGUGUGCAUAGUC
RNAcentral lists this ribosomal RNA (504 nucleotides) under uncultured bacterium. RNAcentral describes it as "bacterial SSU rRNA". It matches the Rfam family "Bacterial small subunit ribosomal RNA", at positions 39 to 589 of the family's 1533-position model. The record is from RNAcentral.